RNAcentral lists this ribosomal RNA (324 nucleotides) under Triticum aestivum (bread wheat). Its description in RNAcentral is "partial small subunit ribosomal RNA". The record is from RNAcentral. Lineage: Eukaryota; Viridiplantae; Streptophyta; Magnoliopsida; Poales; Poaceae.
AUGGUGAAUGAAGGUAUAGUGCUUGGGCAUAAAAUUUCUGAACGAGGUAUUAAAGUAGAUAAAGCUAAAUUUGAUGCAAUUGAGAAAAUGACAUAUCCUAAAGAUAUUAAAGAAGCCUUUGAAAUAUUUAAGAAAACAUUAAUCUCUGCAUCCAUUGUUCAACCAUCUGAUUGGAACCUACAAUUUGAAAUUAUGUGUGAAGCUAUUGAUUAUACUGUUGGUGUUGUUCUAGGACAAAGAGUUGAUAAGAAAUCGAAUGUUAUUCAUUAUGCUAGUAAAACUCUAGACAAUGCUCAAAGAAAUUAUGCUACUACUGAGAAAUAA